AGAGUUGAUCCUGGCUCAGAGCGAACGUUAGCGGCGGGCCUAACACAUGCAAGUCGAACGAGAACGCUCCUUCGGGAGUUAUUAAAGUGGCGCACGGGUGAGGAACGCGUAGGUAAUCUACCCUCUGGCGGGGGACAACACUCCGAAAGGAAUGCUAAUACCGCAUGAGACCACGCUUACUACGGUGAGAGUGGUAAAAGGCGCCCCAAAGCGCCACCAGAGGAUGAGCCUGCGUCCCAUCAGCUUGUUGGUAAGGUAAUGGCUUACCAAGGCUAAGACGGGUAGCUGGUCUGAGAGGAUGAUCAGCCACACUGGCACUGGAACACGGGCCAGACUCCUACGGGAGGCAGCAGUGAGGAAUAUUGGGCAAUGGGCGAAAGCCUGACCCAGCCACGCCGCGUGUGUGAUGAAGGCCUUCGGGUCGUAAAGCACUGUGGGGAGGGACGAAAACACGCAGGAGGAAAUGCCUGCGUCUUGACGGUACCUCCUUAGCAAGCACCGGCUAACUCUGUGCCAGCAGCCGUGGUAAUACGGAGGGUCCAAGCGUUAAUCGGAAUUACUGGGCGUAAAGCGUGCGUAGGCGGUUUGUUAAGUGGAAUGUGAAAGCCCCGGGCUCAACCUGGGAACUGCAUCCCAAACUGGCAAACUAGAGUGCGGAAGAGGAGUGUGGAAUUUCCUGUGUAGCGGUGAAAUGCGUAGAUAUAGGAAGGAACACCAGUGGCGAAGGCGACACUCUGGUCUGACACUGACGCUGAGGUACGAAAGCGUGGGGAGCAAACAGGAUUAGAUACCCUGGUAGUCCACGCCGUAAACGAUUUCAACUAGCCGUUGGGUCCCGUUUCCGCUUAGUGGUGCAGCUAACGCAAUAAGUUGACCGCCUGGGGAGUACGGCCGCAAGGCUAAAACUCAAAUGAAUUGACGGGGGCCCGCACAAGCGGUGGAGCAUGUGGUUUAAUUCGAUGCAACGCGAAGAACCUUACCUACCCUUGACAUCCAGAGAAUCUGUUAGAGAUAGUAGAGUGCCUUCGGGAAUUCUGUGACAGGUGCUGCAUGGCUGUCGUCAGCUCGUGUCGUGAGAUGUUGGGUUAAGUCCCGUAACGAGCGCAACCCUUAUCCUUAGUUGCUAGCAGGUAAUGCUGAGAACUCUAGGGAGACUGCCGGUGAUAAACCGGAGGAAGGUGGGGACGACGUCAAGUCAUCAUGGCCCUUAUGGGUAGGGCUACACACGUGCUACAAUGGUCGGUACAGAGGGCUGCAAACUCGCGAGAGUAAGCUAAUCUCAGAAAGCUGAUCUUAGUCCGGAUUGGAGUCUGCAACUCGACUCCAUGAAGUUGGAAUCGCUAGUAAUCGCGGAUCAGAAUGCCGCGGUGAAUACGUUCCCGGGCCUUGUACACACCGCCCGUCACACCAUGGGAGUGGGUUGCAAAAGAAGUGGGUAGACUAACCUUCGGGAGGUCGCUCACCACUUUGUGAUUCAUGACUGGGGUGAAGUCGUAACAAGGUAACC
This 1507-nucleotide ribosomal RNA is filed under the name uncultured prokaryote. RNAcentral describes it as "partial 16S ribosomal RNA". It matches the Rfam family "Bacterial small subunit ribosomal RNA". The record is from RNAcentral.